GACGUGCCCGGAAACGGCCGGGCAUAAGAGCUGAACGGAGCUGACUGU
Molecule: non-coding RNA, 48 nt
Submitted as: unclassified sequences
Source: Rfam